Molecule: transfer RNA, 71 nt
Filed under: Streptomyces sp. Ru71
Lineage: Bacteria; Bacillati; Actinomycetota; Actinomycetes; Kitasatosporales; Streptomycetaceae
Rfam family: tRNA
About the family: Transfer RNA (tRNA) molecules are approximately 80 nucleotides in length. Their secondary structure includes four short double-helical elements and three loops (D, anti-codon, and T loops).
Source: Rfam by way of RNAcentral
CCGGACGUAGCGCAGAGGCAGGCGCACGCCAUGCACCGGCGUACACGCCGGUUCGAAUCCGGUCGUCCGGA